This 422-nucleotide long non-coding RNA is filed under the name Cyanoderma ruficeps (rufous-capped babbler). RNAcentral describes it as "lncRNA (ENSCRFG00000002675.1)". Lineage: Eukaryota; Metazoa; Chordata; Aves; Passeriformes; Timaliidae. The record is from RNAcentral.
GCAUUGCUUGAUUUCUAAAUGAAUCCCAGCUGUAGAAAUGCUGUUCUUGAGCCAACAGGUUGUUGCUGUAGCCUGGAUCCACAGUCAAGGAAGGCUGGUGAGAGCAGUGGGCAAAACCAGAUUUUUCUGUGAAAUACCUGUGUGGAGGUCAAGACAAGCUCUGGGGCUGGAUUUAAACCCUCAACCUAGAGGACGCCUUCAGAGUGUACAACGUGGUUGGGCUCCUGUCUGGAUUAUUCCUGGGAAGGUAACAGUGGUCUGCCAGUGUAGCACGGCUGGUUUUUAAUUCAUACAGCAAGUGGUGAGGAAGAUACUUUUAAUUUUGGAAACCACUAUACAAGAGGGAUUGGUAACUUCUGAAACCAGUACACUACAUAAUCUUGGUUCAGGCUGUUUACUUUUUCUUUUGUUUUGCUUCUCCA